Molecule: long non-coding RNA, 3435 nt
Organism: Nerophis ophidion (straightnose pipefish)
Lineage: Eukaryota; Metazoa; Chordata; Actinopteri; Syngnathiformes; Syngnathidae
Exons: 3
Source: RefSeq, a predicted model, not a curated record
UCUUCUGUAUUCUCACAUGCAUUACAGACGACAGGAAUUAAUGUUUUUUUCUUUUUCUUUUUUUUUUGUCUUCAGCACAAUCAGGUGGCCAUGACAGGAUUAUGAGACACCAAUGAGGCCUGCAAAAGCAGCCAAAAUAUCUUCAGAUCUGAACUCAUUGAUGACCACUUCAGAACUCUCCAGCGUUUUGUCUUAAGCCAUUUUUGUGGGCUUUUUGAAGUAUGUUGUGGGUCGUUGUCCUGCUGAAAGACCCAUUACCUCUGACGGAGACCCAGCUUUCUGACAAUGGGCCCUACAUUAUGCCCCAAAAAUAUUUGGUAGUCAUCAGAUUUCAUGAUGCCAUGCACACAGUCAAAGCAUCCUGUACAAGAAGCAGAAAAGUUACCCCAAAUUAUCAGUGAACCUAUACCAUGUUUGACUGUAGGGAUAGUGUUCUUUUCUUUGAAGGCCUCAUUUAGUUUUCUGUUAACAGUGUGAUGAUGUGCUUUACCAAAAAGCUCCACUUUAGUCUCAUCUGUCCACAGGACGUUCUCCCAGAAGGAUUUUGGCUUCCUCAGCUAAGGGACCUUUGAGAAGCCCUUUUCUGAGGUCCAAGAGUGAAGAUGAAGGCACAGUUUCAUUUUCAGCAGUUUUUAAAAUUAGAGCAGAGGCAGCAAAUCAUACUGCCGCACGCUUGGCGCGCAAAUCAAAGUGAAGACGGGAUUCAAAUUAAUGAACACAGAAGACGUAAAGCCUACUUGCUUUCUUGGGACUGGAACAAAAAACACUUAUUUGCCGCCCUUUGCUAGGCGUGGGUGCUGGAAAAGUGCAGGAAAGCGAGAAAAGCCCUUUUUUUUUUUAAAAUUGCAAUAAGUCUUCUAUGUAGUUUGUCACCUUCUUGAUGUGUGCACAGGGAGCAGACUCCCAAAAAUUGUACAAAUAUUGUAUUGUGUUGUCAUCCAUCAUUUACAUGCAGUCCAUGCAGUAUUUCCAUAUAAAAUUAUCCUGCAUGAUCUUUCUGACUGUAAUUUAAACAAACUUUUUUUUCCAGUCCAUCUUCAACCCAAAAGUUGUCUUCAAAGUAUCAGUUAGUCAGGUCCACAUUCAUCUGCUCCAUCAAGAGUUGACUUUAACUAAUUGAACAAAAUACCAAAUAACUGAAAAACAAUUAAUGUAUUAUCAUUGUAUAAAAAUUAUUUAUUACACUUUAUGUUAGUGUUUUGAGCAGUAAAACAUUGUUUUGGGGAAUUUCAGCUGCCAAGAAACAAUACAUUUUAUUUUAAAUACCUUCCAGAUUGCAAAUAAUGUUUCUUUUUAUUCUGCAAAAACCAGAACACUCUGUAGAGGGGCUUCGAAAGAUCAUACAGUUUUGGUGUGGGAAUAUAAAAACAUUCACUAUAAAGCUUUUGAUUAUUAUUUAUUUUUUUACCAUUUAUAAGUGAAUAAUUUCAACAGCAAAAUUGACAAUUCACACUCAGUGUUUAUUGGUGCUAUAUUACAGCUUUGCUACAAAAUAUAAGAUGACAUUUUUUUCCCUCCAAGAUACAGUAGGUUGUUUUGUAUUUGGAGCUUAGAUGUAUAGAGCAAACCAGUAGGUUAUUAUACUUGUAUUAUAGAGGACCUACGAUGAUUUUAGUCUGCAUUUUAAACAUUUCCUCGUGGUCUCGACCAGUGUUUCUAAAACAUUUGCCCAUUGUCAGGCCACCAAAAAUAUCUGUAUCUCAGCUGUGGUCUGUAAAGUACGCAGCAGCAGUACCUAGUUUUAACACACUUUUCAACACGUCUGGAUGUAACGACAAUGUCAAACACAGUAAAAGUCUGGAGAUAAAGUCAGAGAAGUUUGUUUAACGCAAAUAUUAUGACUAAAGGGGUGAAGCCGUAUUUUCAAUUUCACUUUAAUUUUAUUCACAGUUCGUAGUUCUAUGUUAAUUUCAUUUUGAGUCCCUUAUUUUAAACUAAGCCUUGGUAAUCUUUGUGAUUAACAUGCUUUCAUAUUGUUUGACAAGGUUUAUCCUGAUAUAAUUAUUGAAUAUGAUUAAAAUCAAGAGUAAAAUUACUAAUUUAGUGUUAUUGAGUGGGCCCCAGACUCCUCUACAGUGGAAAAGUUGGGGCCCCGAGGUCAAAAAGGUUAAGAACCCCCGGUCUAGUUAAAAUGUAUUGGAUAUGCUGUUUUGUAGCCUGAAACAGUUGAGAGCUUGAUCUAUUUUCUAAAUAAGUAUGUACACCUCGCUGUGAUGUCACAAUGUAGUCUGUGCAAAACCCCACAAACAUCGGCAUAUAAAACUGCAUGCAAGCUCACACUAAAAUGCAUGAAUCUUAUGAUUUAAUGCUUUGGCAUUGUUUAACACGAGUAUCCAACAUUGUAACAUUUAUAAGUCAGAAAAGAAAACAUUCAUCAUAGGUCCCCUUCAAAAACAACAUUUCAGUUAAAGUUUGUUUUUGGACUACUUUUUCAAUACUUUAUUUUGUCCAAAAACAGGACUUGAACAGGAUAUAUAUUCAGGUUUAUUUAUACGCUGGUCAAUACGGUAUUUCCGUUUUUGGGCUCAGUUCAAUAUGCAUUUUUGUCAUUUUUUUUUUUAUUUCAACAACACAAACUGUGCAGCGUGUGACAAAAAAGAAACGAUCCAAGUUCUAAAAAUUCCACGCACAAACAUCCUAUGAGGCGCAACACGAUGGGUGAAACGAUGGUGUUGACAUCAACACCUCUUUGCUUUUUGACAUGAUGGCCUGAGUUGCUCAAUGUUCUCGCUUAAUCCAAAUAGAAAUGUUCAUUGUCUAUUUAUUUUCAGUGGCCUUCGCAGUUAAAGCACAAAAAGGUGUCUUGAUUGACGUACAGCCGACAGCACUCCCUCUUAGCGUUUAAAGGACAAACCUGCAUUGGUACGCUUGCAACUGGGCAGCCUCUGCUUGCGUGUGUGCUUCUUGUCCGUCUUUUUACUAUUUUUUAUUUCGGCCUCCCAGUGCUUCUUCACCAGCGUGUACAGCCUCAUGGUGGCCUGGGCAUCCUGGACCUGCAAGAACCAUUUCACCUUAUUACAUUCCUGACACACGUGGACUUUGAAUCAAAUGACAUGAUGACUUACAGAGGAAUGUUCACCCUGCUGAACCUUGACAUUGAGUAUUCUCUUGCAAAGUACCCUCAACGCGGGGCACUUACUCUGAAAGAGGAAACAUGUAUGACAUUCUGUCUGAUGACGAUGAUGAUGAUGAAAAGAUUUGAUCUGUUGAUACCCUGACGGUCUUCCUGAAGGGUUUAUACUUCUGAGUGUCACGGGUUUUCUUUUUUGGGUGAUCAAGAAGCAAAAUCUGUAACAAUAGAAAAUGUAAAUCUUUAAACUGACUUCAAAAUAAAAGUAUUUGAAUUAUACAAAGGAAAGACAGUGAGAUAAAAGGUAAUUGAUGAAUGACCCGACAACUUUGUGUGUUUAAGGUAUUUUUUCACAUCACACUCAU